GGUCCCAUCGUUCAGGGGUUAGGACAUCAGAUUUUCACUCUGGAGACAGGGGUUCGAUUCCCCUUGGGACUACCA
This 75-nucleotide transfer RNA is filed under the name Fusobacteriaceae bacterium. RNAcentral's name for it is "tRNA-Glu". It matches the Rfam family "tRNA". Rfam says of the family: Transfer RNA (tRNA) molecules are approximately 80 nucleotides in length. Lineage: Bacteria; Fusobacteriati; Fusobacteriota; Fusobacteriia; Fusobacteriales; Fusobacteriaceae. The record is from RNAcentral.